Molecule: ribosomal RNA, 342 nt
Filed under: Triticum aestivum (bread wheat)
Lineage: Eukaryota; Viridiplantae; Streptophyta; Magnoliopsida; Poales; Poaceae
Description: partial small subunit ribosomal RNA
Source: RNAcentral
AUGCGGGUGAGAAGUACAAUGAAAUGGACAGCGCCGAGCCCCGGGGUGGCGAAGAUACAAGUUGACGGAGGUCUUGCAAGAAAGGGUAAUAGUGGCGCAUCCGCUACGGUUUGCCGUGAUCACACAGGCCUCUUCUUUGGUUCAUCAGCUAUGGUAUUUACCGACAUUUCAGACCCGGCAGCAUUGGAGGCACUCGCUUGCCGUGAAGCUCUAGCGCUUGCGCUGGACUUGUCCCUCGACAAAGUUGUUAUUGCAUGUGAUAAUAAAUUAGUGGUGGUGGAGAUAAAGAAUGAAACUGAAGGAAGAUGUUGGUCGCCAUUUGUGGCUGGGUUUACCCUAUGA